GGGUUGUGAGGUUAAGCGACUAAGCGUACACGGUGGAUGCCCUGGCAGUCAGAGGCGAUGAAGGACGUGCUAAUCUGCGAUAAGCGUCGGUAAGGUGAUAUGAACCGUUAUAACCGGCGAUUUCCGAAUGGGGAAACCCAGUGUGAUUCGUCACACUAUCAUUAACUGAAUCCAUAGGUUAAUGAGGCGAACCGGGGGAACUGAAACAUCUAAGUACCCCGAGGAAAAGAAAUCAACCGAGAUUCCCCCAGUAGCGGCGAGCGAACGGGGAGCAGCCCAGAGCCUGAAUCAGUGUGUGUGUUAGUGGAAGCGUCUGGAAAGGCGCGCGAUACAGGGUGACAGCCCCGUACACAAAAAUGCACAUACUGUGAGCUCGAUGAGUAGGGCGGGACACGUGGUAUCCUGUCUGAAUAUGGGGGGACCAUCCUCCAAGGCUAAAUACUCCUGACUGACCGAUAGUGAACCAGUACCGUGAGGGAAAGGCGAAAAGAACCCCGGUGAGGGGAGUGAAAAAGAACCUGAAACCGUGUACGUACAAGCAGUGGGAGCCUCUUUAUGGGGUGACUGCGUACCUUUUGUAUAAUGGGUCAGCGACUUAUAUUCUGUAGCAAGGUUAACCGAAUAGGGGAGCCGAAGGGAAACCGAGUCUUAACUGGGCGUUAAGUUGCAGGGUAUAGACCCGAAACCCGGUGAUCUAGCCAUGGGCAGGUUGAAGGUUGGGUAACACUAACUGGAGGACCGAACCGACUAAUGUUGAAAAAUUAGCGGAUGACUUGUGGCUGGGGGUGAAAGGCCAAUCAAACCGGGAGAUAGCUGGUUCUCCCCGAAAGCUAUUUAGGUAGCGCCUCGUGAAUUCAUCUCCGGGGGUAGAGCACUGUUUCGGCAAGGGGGUCAUCCCGACUUACCAACCCGAUGCAAACUGCGAAUACCGGAGAAUGUUAUCACGGGAGACACACGGCGGGUGCUAACGUCCGUCGUGAAGAGGGAAACAACCCAGACCGCCAGCUAAGGUCCCAAAGUCAUGGUUAAGUGGGAAACGAUGUGGGAAGGCCCAGACAGCCAGGAUGUUGGCUUAGAAGCAGCCAUCAUUUAAAGAAAGCGUAAUAGCUCACUGGUCGAGUCGGCCUGCGCGGAAGAUGUAACGGGGCUAAACCAUGCACCGAAGCUGCGGCAGCGACACUAUGUGUUGUUGGGUAGGGGAGCGUUCUGUAAGCCUGCGAAGGUGUACUGUGAGGUAUGCUGGAGGUAUCAGAAGUGCGAAUGCUGACAUAAGUAACGAUAAAGCGGGUGAAAAGCCCGCUCGCCGGAAGACCAAGGGUUCCUGUCCAACGUUAAUCGGGGCAGGGUGAGUCGACCCCUAAGGCGAGGCCGAAAGGCGUAGUCGAUGGGAAACAGGUUAAUAUUCCUGUACUUGGUGUUACUGCGAAGGGGGGACGGAGAAGGCUAUGUUGGCCGGGCGACGGUUGUCCCGGUUUAAGCGUGUAGGCUGAUUUUCCAGGCAAAUCCGGAAAAUCAAGGCUGAGGCGUGAUGACGAGGCACUACGGUGCUGAAGCAACAAAUGCCCUGCUUCCAGGAAAAGCCUCUAAGCAUCAGGUAACAUCAAAUCGUACCCCAAACCGACACAGGUGGUCAGGUAGAGAAUACCAAGGCGCUUGAGAGAACUCGGGUGAAGGAACUAGGCAAAAUGGUGCCGUAACUUCGGGAGAAGGCACGCUGAUAUGUAGGUGAAGUCCCUCGCGGAUGGAGCUGAAAUCAGUCGAAGAUACCAGCUGGCUGCAACUGUUUAUUAAAAACACAGCACUGUGCAAACACGAAAGUGGACGUAUACGGUGUGACGCCUGCCCGGUGCCGGAAGGUUAAUUGAUGGGGUUAGCGGUAACGCGAAGCUCUUGAUCGAAGCCCCGGUAAACGGCGGCCGUAACUAUAACGGUCCUAAGGUAGCGAAAUUCCUUGUCGGGUAAGUUCCGACCUGCACGAAUGGCGUAAUGAUGGCCAGGCUGUCUCCACCCGAGACUCAGUGAAAUUGAACUCGCUGUGAAGAUGCAGUGUACCCGCGGCAAGACGGAAAGACCCCGUGAACCUUUACUAUAGCUUGACACUGAACAUUGAGCCUUGAUGUGUAGGAUAGGUGGGAGGCUUUGAAGUGUGGACGCCAGUCUGCAUGGAGCCGGCCUUGAAAUACCACCCUUUAAUGUUUGAUGUUCUAACGUUGGCCCCUGAUCGGGGUUGCGGACAGUGUCUGGUGGGUAGUUUGACUGGGGCGGUCUCCUCCUAAAGAGUAACGGAGGAGCACGAAGGUUGGCUAAUCCUGGUCGGACAUCAGGAGGUUAGUGCAAUGGCAUAAGCCAGCUUGACUGCGAGCGUGACGGCGCGAGCAGGUGCGAAAGCAGGUCAUAGUGAUCCGGUGGUUCUGAAUGGAAGGGCCAUCGCUCAACGGAUAAAAGGUACUCCGGGGAUAACAGGCUGAUACCGCCCAAGAGUUCAUAUCGACGGCGGUGUUUGGCACCUCGAUGUCGGCUCAUCACAUCCUGGGGCUGAAGUAGGUCCCAAGGGUAUGGCUGUUCGCCAUUUAAAGUGGUACGCGAGCUGGGUUUAGAACGUCGUGAGACAGUUCGGUCCCUAUCUGCCGUGGGCGCUGGAGAACUGAGGGGGGCUGCUCCUAGUACGAGAGGACCGGAGUGGACGCAUCACUGGUGUUCGGGUUGUCAUGCCAAUGGCACUGCCCGGUAGCUAAAUGCGGAAGAGAUAAGUGCUGAAAGCAUCUAAGCACGAAACUUGCCCCGAGAUGAGUUCUCCCUGACUCCUUGAGAGUCCUGAAGGAACGUUGAAGACGACGACGUUGAUAGGCCGGGUGUGUAAGCGCAGCGAUGCGUUGAGCUAACCGGUACUAAUGAACCGUGAGGCUUAACCUUACAACGCCGAAG
RNAcentral lists this ribosomal RNA (2925 nucleotides) under Escherichia coli. RNAcentral describes it as "bacterial LSU rRNA". It matches the Rfam family "Bacterial large subunit ribosomal RNA". Lineage: Bacteria; Pseudomonadati; Pseudomonadota; Gammaproteobacteria; Enterobacterales; Enterobacteriaceae. The record is from RNAcentral.